Molecule: non-coding RNA, 802 nt
Organism: Callithrix jacchus (white-tufted-ear marmoset)
Lineage: Eukaryota; Metazoa; Chordata; Mammalia; Primates; Cebidae
Source: RefSeq, a predicted model, not a curated record
GAACUGGGAUGGGCGAUGCUGGCUGAGCGGAUCCACCUAUUAUUAGUGCGCUGGGAUUGGUUCCUUGGCGCAGCGUACCCGAGGUGGAGCCAAUCACGAUGCUGGGGCUGGGAGGUGAUGGGCGGCCGCCUCCUCACUGGAGGGAUUCCUGGAGAAGCUGCAGUGUGGGGAUGCUCUAGACCGAGUACUGCCCCCAGUGUCUUUCCACCUCCUCCUGCAGCAGCGGCAGCGGCAGCAGCAGCAGCAGCAGCAGUUAGCAACGGCAACUUGAGGCUGCACCCCGGGCAAGACCCCAGGGUGGUGCUCAGCCAAGAAGGGGCUCGGCGCCCCGAAGGGGUGUGUGAAGGGUGGGGGCGGCCAGCUGGGACCAGCUGGUGGCCCUGGAAAACCUCCCACACACCCACACCCACACACCCCUUUUGUGUUGCAGGCUGCCCCUCCAAGAGCGGAGGCAGCGAGAGUACGCGUGUGCCUCGCGCCGGUCCACGCGGGGAGAGCACUGGGGACGGAGACCCGGCACCACCUCCCGGUCCGCCUUCCAGAUGGGAUUUCACCAUGAUGGCCAGGCAGGUCUUGAACUCCUGACCUCAGGUGAUCCACCCACCUCGGCCUCCCAAAGUGCUAGGAUUACAGGAGUAAGCCACUGCGCCCAGCCACCAUCUAAUAUUUGGAAAACAGGAAAACUAGCAAGAGCUAGCAAGAACUAGCAAGAGCUUGAACAAACGCCUGGACUCAGAUUGGAAAACUGCUCAUUUGUCCACCGCUUCAUUCCUGGAAAUCGCACUGGAACUGCCUGAUUAAG